This 460-nucleotide ribosomal RNA is filed under the name uncultured bacterium. RNAcentral describes it as "partial 16S ribosomal RNA". It matches the Rfam family "Bacterial small subunit ribosomal RNA", at positions 338 to 795 of the family's 1533-position model. The record is from RNAcentral.
CCUACGGGGGGCAGCAGUGAGGAAUAUUGGUCAAUGGGCGUAAGCCUGAACCAGCCAAGUCGCGUGAAGGAUGACUGCCCUACGGGUUGUAAACUUCUUUUAUAAGGGAGUAAAGUUAGCCACGUGUGGCUUUUUGUAUGUACUCUAUGAAUAAGCAUCGGCUAACUCCGUUCCAGCAGCCGCGGUAAUACGGAGGAUGCGAGCGUUAUCCGGAUUUAUUGGGUUUAAAGGGAGCGUAGGUUGGUUUUUAAGUCCGUGGUGAAAGUUUGGGGCUCAACCAUAAAAUUGCCGUUGAAACUGGAAGACUUGAGUGUGUUUGAGGUAGGCGGAAUGCGUGGUGUAGCGGUGAAAUGCAUAGAUAUCACGAAGAACUCCGAUUGCGAAGGCAGCUUACUAAGCUAUAACUGACACUGAUGCACGAAAGUGUGGGGAUCAAACAGGAUUAGAUACCCGUGUAGUC